Carassius gibelio (silver crucian carp) is the source of this 744-nucleotide long non-coding RNA. RefSeq lists it as uncharacterized. The transcript has 4 exons. Lineage: Eukaryota; Metazoa; Chordata; Actinopteri; Cypriniformes; Cyprinidae. The record is from RefSeq and is a predicted model, not a curated record.
AUUUCGGCUCUCGACUCUUCGCGGUGCAGUCAUGGUAAUUCGACAGAACCGGGUUGAGUUUUGCUGCUGGCUCAGUGUAGCUGUACUAUUCUCACUAUUGGUGUGAGACUCCUUGAUUGUGCUGAGUGGCAAAAGUGGUGGUCUCUUGUGUGCCGCUUUCCCUUGUUUGCUUAUUUUGGGUUUUUUAUCGCAGUGAGUGUGUGUGUUCACGUGUGAUUGGGGAAUCCUCCCGAGAUCCCACACCCCUUGACCCUACCUCUCCACUGAGACAAAACAGCAGCUGGCUUCACCCUUUUGUGGAUUUUGAAGAACUGCUGUUACUUUCCUUUUCGGCUCCAUUGUACCAGUAGGGCUUAGUUAUGGGUGAGGAGUUACAGGAGUUGAGGGAGCUGGUUGCACAGUUAAGAGCGGAUAAUGAGAGGAUGCGCUAGGAGCAGGAUGUUAAUGCUCCUGAUCCCAGCUCUGCAGCCCCUAUUACUGCCAUGGUUAAUGCCCCUGUAACUGAGCGACUUAUUGUUGUAGCUGGAGUUCGAAAAUGUCCCAUGUUCUGGGGUAGAUCAGGUAUAGGGCUCAUAGAGUGGCUUUAUGAGGUGCAGGCCUGCAUGAGGGCACGCCACUUGUCUGUUUCGGAUCAGGCCUUCUUCUUGUUUGACCAUUUGGAGGGAGAAGCGCAUGAAGAAAUAAAGCAUUGGCCCAGUACAGAGCGAGGUGAUCUACCAAAAUUAUAGUGGCAUUACAGUAGUU